This 800-nucleotide ribosomal RNA is filed under the name uncultured bacterium. Its description in RNAcentral is "bacterial SSU rRNA". It matches the Rfam family "Bacterial small subunit ribosomal RNA", at positions 8 to 802 of the family's 1533-position model. The record is from RNAcentral.
AGAGUUUGAUCCUGGCUCAGGAUGAACGCUAGCGGCGGGCAUAAUACAUGCAAGUCGAACGGGAUAAGUUGUAGCAAUACGACUUUGAGAGUGGCGCACGGGUGCGUAACACGUAUGCAACUUGCCCUUAACAGGGGGAUAGCUUUCGGAAACGAAAAUUAAUACCCCAUAUUAUUACUUAUAUGCAUGUAUGAGUAAUGAAAGCUCCGGCGGUUAAGGAUGGGCAUGCGGCUGAUUAGCUAGUUGGCGAGGUAAAGGCUCACCAAGGCGACGAUCAGUAGGGGGUCUGAGAGGAUGUCCCCCCACACUGGUACUGAGACACGGACCAGACUCCUACGGGAGGCAGCAGUAGGGAAUAUUGGUCAAUGGAGGCAACUCUGAACCAGCCACGCCGCGUGCAGGAUGAAGGCCCUCUGGGUUGUAAACUGCUUUUGUUAGGGAAAAAACCCCUCGAUGCGUUGAGGGUUGAUGGUACCUAAAGAAUAAGGAUCGGCUAACUCCGUGCCAGCAGCCGCGGUAAUACGGAGGAUCCUAGCGUUGUCCGGAUUUAUUGGGUUUAAAGGGUGCGUAGGCGGAAUAUUAAGUCAGGGGUGAAAGCCGGUCGCUUAACGAUCGAAUUGCCUUUGAAACUGGUAUUCUUGAAUUUGAUUGAGGUAGGCGGAAUGUGUCAUGUAGCGGUGAAAUGCAUAGAUAUGAUACAGAACACCGAUUGCGAAGGCAGCUUACUAAGUCAACAUUGACGCUGAGGCACGAAAAGCGUGGGGAGCAAACAGGAUUAGAUACCCUGGUAGUCCACGCCG